RNAcentral lists this small nuclear RNA (190 nucleotides) under Heterocephalus glaber (naked mole-rat). Its description in RNAcentral is "7SK RNA". It matches the Rfam family "7SK RNA", at positions 1 to 192 of the family's 331-position model. From Rfam's summary of the family: 7SK was discovered as an abundant small nuclear RNA in the mid-70s but a possible function has only recently been suggested. Two independent studies have found that 7SK RNA binds the CDK9/cyclin T complex (known as elongation factor P-TEFb). The record is from Rfam by way of RNAcentral. Lineage: Eukaryota; Metazoa; Chordata; Mammalia; Rodentia; Bathyergidae.
GGAUGUGAGGGCGAUCUGGCUUCGACGUCUGUCACCCAUUGAUGGCCAGAGUUGAUUCGGCUGAUCUGGCUGGCUAGGCGGGUGUUCCCUUCCUCCUUCACCGCUCCAUGUGCGUCCUUCCGGAAGCUGUGUGCUACAAAGAGGGCCUGCCCUGCCAUUACCGCUACGAGCCUCUCUUCUGUGCAUGGUG